This 253-nucleotide ribosomal RNA is filed under the name uncultured prokaryote. RNAcentral describes it as "partial 16S ribosomal RNA". It matches the Rfam family "Bacterial small subunit ribosomal RNA", at positions 525 to 777 of the family's 1533-position model. The record is from RNAcentral.
ACAGAGGGUGCAAGCGUUGUUCGGAAUUACUGGGCGUAAAGCGCGUGUAGGCGGUUUAGAAAGUCAGACGUGAAAUCCCUAGGCUUAACCAAGGAAUGGCGUCUGAUACUGCUAAGCUAGAGUGUCGGAGGGGAUGGCGGAAUUCCCGGUGUAGAGGUGAAAUUCGUAGAUAUUGGGAGGAACACCGGCGGCGAAAGCGGCUCUCUGGCUUGUCACUGACACUCAGUCGCGAAAGGGUGGGGAGCAAACAGGA